This is a long non-coding RNA of Juglans microcarpa x Juglans regia, 265 nucleotides long. RefSeq lists it as uncharacterized. The record is from RefSeq and is a predicted model, not a curated record. The transcript has 4 exons. NCBI's taxonomy places the organism in Eukaryota, Viridiplantae, Streptophyta, Magnoliopsida, Fagales, Juglandaceae.
AUAUUUUGGAUUGCUUUGGACAGUAAUAACUCUUUGAAUUAGGAGUGUUCAACCGGGCCGGAUUUUUUUCCGGUUCGGUCCGAAACCCGGAAUCUUGGUGGAUCCGUGCGGUUAUCCGCCCGGAUUAAACCCGGGCGGGUAAAAAAACUUUUGUACCCGCCCGGAUCCGGUUUUUAACCCAGUUUCCGUAACCGGCUUUUUUUUUUAAAAAAACAUUGCUUAUGAUUUAAAACAGUGUCAUUUUUGCUAAUGGAAAACUACGCCA